This 496-nucleotide ribosomal RNA is filed under the name uncultured bacterium. RNAcentral describes it as "partial 16S ribosomal RNA". It matches the Rfam family "Bacterial small subunit ribosomal RNA", at positions 28 to 506 of the family's 1533-position model. The record is from RNAcentral.
GAUGAACGCUGGCGGCGUGCCUAAUACAUGCAAGUCGAGCGAACAGACGAGGAGCUUGCUCCUCUGACGUUAGCGGCGGACGAGUGAGUAACACGUGGAUAACCUACCUAUAAGACUGGGAUAACUUCGGGAAACCGGAGCUAAUACCGGAUAAUAUAUUGAACCGCAUGGUUCAAUAGUGAAAGACGGUUUUGCUGUCACUUAUAGAUGGAUCCGCGCCGCAUUAGCUAGUUGGUAAGGUAACGGCUUACCAAGGCAACGAUGCGUAGCCGACCUGAGAGGGUGAUCGGCCACACUGGAACUGAGACACGGUCCAGACUCCUACGGGAGGCAGCAGUAGGGAAUCUUCCGCAAUGGGCGAAAGCCUGACGGAGCAACGCCGCGUGAGUGAUGAAGGUCUUCGGAUCGUAAAACUCUGUUAUUAGGGAAGAACAAAUGUGUAAGUAACUAUGCACGUCUUGACGGUACCUAAUCAGAAAGCCACGGCUAACUACGU